RNAcentral lists this ribosomal RNA (471 nucleotides) under uncultured bacterium. RNAcentral's name for it is "partial 16S ribosomal RNA". It matches the Rfam family "Bacterial small subunit ribosomal RNA", at positions 28 to 507 of the family's 1533-position model. The record is from RNAcentral.
GACGAACGCUGGCGGCGUGCUUAACACAUGCAAGUCGAACGGAAAGGCCCUGCUUGCAGGGUGCUCGAGUGGCGAACGGGUGAGUAACACGUGGGUGAUCUGCCCCUUACUUUGGGAUAAGCCUGGGAAACUGGGUCUAAUACUGGAUAGGACCAUGCUGUAGGUGGUGUGGUGGAAAGAUUUUUUCGGUAAGGGAUGAGCUCGCGGCCUAUCAGCUUGUUGGUGGGGUAAUGGCCUACCAAGGCGUCGACGGGUAGCCGGCCUGAGAGGGUGGACGGCCACAUUGGGACUGAGAUACGGCCCAGACUCCUACGGGAGGCAGCAGUGGGGAAUAUUGCACAAUGGGCGCAAGCCUGAUGCAGCGACGCCGCGUGGGGGAUGACGGCCUUCGGGCUGUAAACUCCUUUCAGCCAUGACGAAGCCUCUUUUGGGGUGACGGUAGUGGUAGAAGAAGCACCGGCUAACUACGUG